CUUCUACUCCCUCCGUUCGAAAUUACUUGUCUCGAAAAUGGAUGUAUCUAGAACUAAAAUACAUCUAGAUACAUCCAUUUCCGCGACAAGUAAUUCCGAAUGGAGGGAGUACCAA
Triticum aestivum (bread wheat) is the source of this 115-nucleotide non-coding RNA. The record is from Rfam. NCBI's taxonomy places the organism in Eukaryota, Viridiplantae, Streptophyta, Magnoliopsida, Poales, Poaceae.